AGAGUUGAUCUGGCUCAGGAUGAACGCUAGCGACAGGCUUAACACAUGCAAGUCGAGGGGCAUCACGGGAGUAGCAAUACAACUGGUGGCGACCGGCGCACGGGUGAGUAACGCGUAUGCAACCUACCUAUCAGAGGGGAAUAACCCGGCGAAAGUCGGACUAAUACCGCAUAAAACAGGGGCACCGCAUGGUGAUAUUUGUUAAAGAAAUUCGCUGAUAGAUGGGCAUGCGUUCCAUUAGGUAGUUGGUGAGGUAACGGCUCACCAAGCCGACGAUGGAUAGGGGAACUGAGAGGUUGGUCCCCCACACUGGUACUGAGACACGGACCAGACUCCUACGGGAGGCAGCAGUGAGGAAUAUUGGUCAAUGGGCGGGAGCCUGAACCAGCCAAGUCGCCGUGAAGGAAGAAGGAUCUAUGGUUCGUAAACUUCUUUUGCAGGGGAGUAAAGUGCAGGACGUGUCCUGUUUUGUAUGUACCCUGAGAAUAAGGAUCGGCUAACUCCGUGCCAGCCGCCGC
This 518-nucleotide ribosomal RNA is filed under the name uncultured bacterium. RNAcentral describes it as "bacterial SSU rRNA". It matches the Rfam family "Bacterial small subunit ribosomal RNA", at positions 8 to 518 of the family's 1533-position model. The record is from RNAcentral.